RNAcentral lists this ribosomal RNA (962 nucleotides) under Ochthephilus emarginatus. RNAcentral's name for it is "eukaryotic LSU rRNA". It matches the Rfam family "Eukaryotic large subunit ribosomal RNA", at positions 100 to 792 of the family's 3401-position model. The record is from RNAcentral. Lineage: Eukaryota; Metazoa; Arthropoda; Insecta; Coleoptera; Staphylinidae.
GGGAAGAGCCCAGCACUGAAUCCCGCGCCCGUACACCGACGCCGGGAAAUGUAUGGUUUGGGAGAGUCCUUUAAUCCGAUUGUGUGCGAUGCCUCCAACUCCUUCUUGAAGGGGGCCAUUUACCCAUAGAGGGUGCCAGGCCCGUACGCACUUUUGCUGGCUGCGGGAGGAUCUCUCCUAAUAGGCUGGUUGGUUGAGAGUGCAGCCCUAAGUAGGUGGUAAACUCCUUCUAAGGCUAAAUAUAACCACGAGACCGAUAGCGAACAAGUACCGGGAGGGAAAGUUGAAAAGAACUUUGAAGAGAGAGUUCAAUACUACGUGAAACCGUUUAGGGGUAAACCUGAGAAACCCGAAAGUUCGACUGAGGAGAUUCAGCGUGUCUUUAUAAGGACGAGUGCUUAACUGUUGACGGUUGACCUUCGGGUCGGUCGCACGGUAUGCGACCCCUCCUUUGUCCCUCGGCGCGUUUCCUCUAGCGUGACCCCCCGACCCGUUGGGUGUCGGUCUACGGCUUGCAGUCUGUUCCGUGCGUACGGUUUUGCCCGCGUACCUGCGGACCUGCCAUGGACCGGCCCGACGGUCUGUUUUCUAUAAUGUGGGCCGCGAUCGCCGACUUGACUCGUUCGGCCCGGUGCAUCCGCGUACGGUUACCCGUUCUUCGAGACUUGUGCCGUGAUCGGAGCUGUGCGGCUGUUGGUGGUUACCUUCUCGGACUGUCUCUGUUUGCCACUCAGCGACGCUGUUGCUUUGGGUACUUUCUCGACCCGUCUUGAAACACGGACUAAGAAGUCUAUGCUGUGCGCGAGUCCUUGACACGAUCUGAUCCUAUAAGCAAAGUGACUAUAAAGGCUCGCCUUGCGCGUUACUAUAGAGAAGCGAAAUAUCGCCUCGCACUCCCAAGGCCUCUUGUUAUCGUUUCGAGGUGAGGCGCAUCCUUUACGUUUACGCUAUAGACCCAAGGG